This 1290-nucleotide long non-coding RNA is filed under the name Macaca fascicularis (crab-eating macaque). RNAcentral describes it as "lncRNA (ENSMFAG00000058428.1)". The record is from RNAcentral. Lineage: Eukaryota; Metazoa; Chordata; Mammalia; Primates; Cercopithecidae.
AUGAUGGUGUCACUACACUCCAGCCUGGGCGACAGAGUGAGACCCUGCCUCACACGAAAACAUAAACAAAACAGGAGGCCCUGCUGUCCUGAGGGGCUGGUGGUGAGUCACUGGUGGAUGAGGAGAGAGCUGGUGUCCAGGUCCCAGCUGGGGUUGAGUCCUCACCUGUGCUGUCCCCCAGGGGGGCCUCUCUGCAGACCUCCAUCCCUCCCCUGGGAAGCCCAGCAGAAACCUGAGACUGGGCCUCCAGCUCCAGGUCGCCACUGGGCCCAGGGCUCUCCUGCCCACCCGCCAGGGACUGGGGAACAGGUAACUCCUGCACCACCCUCAACCCACCUGGCCUGUUGCUCCAGGUGUGGCCUGGAGGCCCCGGGGCCCGCACACCUGGUCAGCUCACAGGCCAGGAAGGGGAGUGGGGGAGGGCUGCCGGCCGCUGCUGGUUUCGUUUUGAGCCGGGCCCCUUCUCCUUCCUCCCUCCCUCACUCCCACUCCUCGCCAGACCCCUGCUUUCUGGGAAAGGCUGUGACAACUUCCUCUGAACUCUCCUUAACCUGCCCUGGAGCCCAGGGCCCCCAGGAGGCUGAGUUCCGCCUGCGGGACCUGAGGCUUCCUGCGGGUGACACACCUCCACCCAUGGCCACGUGGCCCCAGACCGCCCACCUUCUAGAAGGUUCUUUCUGUGCUGCCCCAUCAUGUCCCCACCCCAGGUGGAGCUGUCCCCUGCCUGCACCCCAUCCACCCUGUGUCCCAGGCUCUGCACACAGGAAACUGCUCCAGGGAGGGCUGCCUGAGACCCCCGCCUCCACCCCACAUUGUGGACAUCUGGGCUGGAUGGUUCUCUGGGGGUGGGGCCGCCCUGGGCACUGCAGGGUGCUGGGUGACAUCUCUGGCCUCCACCCACUCCAUGGCAGGGGCACCCUCCGUCUUGACAACCACAGAUAUCUUGGAGUUGCCAAGCCUGCCCUGGGUGGGGGGACAAAAUUGUUCCUGCUAAGAUCCAGUGGGCUGAAUGACAUCUGUGGGGAGACAGAAAUGACUGAGUUUUGUGCCGGCCGGUCAGGCAGUCCCUGGCAGACAAAAUUCCCAAGAAUUUGCAUCCAAAAAAACAAAACAAAACAAAACAAAACCACUGGGCGAGGUUGCACUUGCCUGUCAUCCCAGCACUUUGGGAGGCCAAGGUGGUCGGAUCACUUGAAGUCAGGAGUUCGAGACCAGCCUGGCCAACAUGGUGAAACCCUGUCUCUACUAAAAAUACAAAAAUUAGCCGGGGGUGGUGGCACAUGCCUGUAA